This 808-nucleotide long non-coding RNA is filed under the name Homo sapiens (human). RNAcentral describes it as "HSALNT0235271". The record is from RNAcentral. Lineage: Eukaryota; Metazoa; Chordata; Mammalia; Primates; Hominidae.
UUGCCAGCCCGCCCGCCAGGCCCCACCGAGGCUGCCAGAGGUGACCUUCAGGCUUCAGCAACUCUGCCCUUCAUCCAGAAGGAUCUAGACCUGCUCCCUCGUCGAAUAUCACUACAAUGACCUGGCAUCGCAUCACCCUGGAAGGACCAGAGGAAAAUGGCGCCAUCUGUUCCCAUUAUUCUUGGCGGGGGCAGGAGCGUGAGAGGUGGGGCUCUGGACCGGGUCAGGCUGUGAGCACACCACUCAGAUUUCUGGCUAAAGUGCUGAACUUCACAGCCGAGAGCAUUACAAAAGAAUUUUUAUUCCUUUCCUACUCUUCCUCCGUGGGUGCCCGACAGAUAUCUCCAGGGAUGGGAGUUCUCGGCUCCAUCCCAGGCCCGAUUCUCCAGUGGUUUCCAGGAUGUGGGGACGGCCGGUGCAGGCUGCUGGGUGAGGGAGAAGCAUGGUCUCUGGCCCGUUCAUCUCGGGAGAACCUCUGCUGACCACGAGGCCCUGCGAGUGUGCUGGGGACCCAGCUACGCUUGUCCACUAAUCACCAAAACAGACCCCGGCUCCUGGCAGAACUCGCUGGGAAACUCCAGGUCGGCUGCCCGGAGCCCCUCCCUCCCAGCCCUGGCCUGGACCUGCACAUGCAGCUCCCAUGCCACCUCAAAGCCACAGAGCAAACCCUACAGCAGGACCGUUGCUCCUACUCUUAUUUACUUUUAUUUUUUUUAUUUUUUAGAGACAGGGUCUCGCGCUGUUGCCCAGGCUGGAGUGCAGUGGCACGAUGUUGGCUCACCGCGGCCUGAACCUCCAGGCUCAAGCA